RNAcentral lists this ribosomal RNA (433 nucleotides) under uncultured bacterium. RNAcentral describes it as "partial 16S ribosomal RNA". It matches the Rfam family "Bacterial small subunit ribosomal RNA", at positions 29 to 507 of the family's 1533-position model. The record is from RNAcentral.
AACGAACGCUGGCGGCAUGCCUAACACAUGCAAGUCGAACGAGACCUUCGGGUCUAGUGGCGCACGGGUGCGUAACGCGUGGGAACCUGCCCUUAGGUUCGGAAUAACUCCCCGAAAGGGGUGCUAAUACCGGAUAAUGUCUUCGGACCAAAGAUUUAUCGCCUUUGGAUGGGCCCGCGUUGGAUUAGCUAGUUGGUAGGGUAAAAGCCUACCAAGGCGACGAUCCAUAGCUGGUCUGAGAGGAUGAUCAGCCACACUGGGACUGAGACACGGCCCAGACUCCUACGGGAGGGAGCAGUGGGGAAUAUUGGACAAGGGGCGAAAGCCUGAUACAGCAAUGCCGGGUGAGUGAUGAAGGCCGUAGGGUUGUAAAGCUCUUUUACCCGGGAUGAUAAUGACAGUACCGGGAGAAUAAGCACCGGCUAACUCCGUG